GCCGCGAAUUCGCCCUUAGAGUUUGAUCAUGGCUCAGAACGAACGCUGGCGGCGUGCUUAACACAUGCAAGUCUAACGAGAAAGUUCUCUUCGGAGAAUGAGUAAAGUGGCGCACGGGUGAGUAACACGUGGGUAACCUACCCUUCAGCUUGGGAUAACACUUCGAAAGGGGUGCUAAUACCAAAUACGUUCAAUUAGGCUUCGGCUUUUUUGAAGAAAGAUGGCCUCUAUACUAUGCUGUCACUGAUUGAUGGGCCCGCGGACCAUUAGCUUGUUGGUAAGGUAACGGCUUACCAAGGCAACGAUGGUUAGCUGGUCUGAGAGGAUGAUCAGCCACACUGGUACUGGAACACGGACCAGACUCCUACGGGAGGCAGCAGUGGGGAAUAUUGCGCAAUGGGGGAAACCCUGACGCAGCAACGCCGCGUGAGUGAUGAAGGCCUUUGGGUCGUAAAGCUCUGUCAGAGGGGAAGAAGGUGCUAGAGUUAAUACCUCUAGUUACUUGACGGUACCCUCAAAGGAAGCACCGGCUAACUCCGU
Molecule: ribosomal RNA, 540 nt
Filed under: uncultured bacterium
Lineage: Bacteria
Description: partial 16S ribosomal RNA
Rfam family: Bacterial small subunit ribosomal RNA
Source: RNAcentral